CAAUCUCGAUAUUGUUGGAAUUGGUCUCGAAGAAGUUAUUGCCCGUGAAAGUGGUAGCCCUUUAAUUGCUUCCUAUCAAUUAGUUCCAAGAAAGCGGCCGUGGUCUAACUAGAAUUUCAUUCCAAUCUCGAUAUUGUUGGAAUUGGUCUCGAAAAGGCGAUUGCCCGCGAAAGCCGUAGCCCUUUAAUUGCUUAGGGGAAUCGGCCUUCUUUAGUCAAAGCUUUUUCUUGCUUAAUGCUUUCCUAUCUCGAGUGAUUUCCCGUGAUCCACCUAUGAGAUCGUUUGCACCGGCUUUGGAUUCAAGAAGAUCGGCCAUAGAAUAAGGAAUGGGAAGAGAGCGAGAGACUCUCGAUUCGCUGCUCUACAUUUCGAGAAAGUGGAAUAAGAAAGGCCGUAGUACCCUAGGCCCGACAGAAUAAUGAGAAGAAAGAGGCCGAUUGGAGAAGUUUUGUUUGAGAGGCUAAGGGACUAGACCCAUCAAAAAGCAAAAAGAAAAUGCGUGACUAAGAAAGGUAACCCUAGAACAAGUUGUCAAAAGACUUGACCCCUGAAGAACUGACCCAAGCAAGGACAUUCCGGAAGUUGGUCGGUCAAGACGGGCACUUUCCCUUCGCUCCUUUCGACCUGAUCUCCCACAAAAACCAAUACAAAGAAGGUGGAAGUGGGGAGGAGAGGAAAAUGGAUUCAUUCAAAGAUGAGCCCUUGCCUAUACCAACCAUAAAGAGUUGUGAAAUCGAUAUAAAGAAGGAGGCCAAGGGAAUUUCGACUUUUUUCAUUGAAUAAUAGAAGGGGAAUAGGGAUUGGACCGAUAGGCUCGUUUUGGACCCGAGGACCUAAGCUUUGCUAAAGCCGUGAAAAGGAGUGGACGGUUGUAUUUUGGCCUAGUUGGACUGGUUCGCCUAAUCGAAGAGCCCCUACCUUACUUGUUCACCGUACUAGACCUCCAUAUCAUAUGUGUAAAGAGCCCACCUCGGAUACGAAAGAAGGACAGGAGUGGUUCCACUAGCCGAUGCUUAAGCGUCAGCCCUUGCCUCCUCUUCCCCAUAAACCUCAUCUGCACCUGAAGAAGAGUAAUCUUUUGCCGAAUCUACAUCCGCCGAAGCCUAUAAAUGUGAAAUAUUUAGUUCCAUCCGGAAUGAAUUUCCCACCUAUCUCUCACUGAACACCAACAGAAUCGUAAGCUUUCUUCUCCGCCUUAGCUUGAGAGCUCCUUUCUACAUCAAGAUCUAGAUCUUCCCCAAGGUAGGUAGGUUUAUCCUCACUCGAUCGGCUUCGGCUAUGGUGUGAUUCUUGGCAUAUGUACACCACAGUAGCUAAGGCAACCCCGUUCCAGCUCGCAUUGUAUUUGAAGUUGAGGAUUUCGCUUCUGAUGUAGUCAGUGAGAAGCUAAGUUCCGUUUUUAGCUUUAGCAAGCCUGUGACUGCCUGAACAGACUAGUCUACGCUCAGCCAACAUUCCGAACUUGUCUCGAUACUGACAGUUCAGUGGAUGGGAUAGCAGAGAGAGAAAGGAAAAGAAGUAGUUCCGAAAGGAGACUCCACCUAGCUAGUGCGCUCCUCACCUCAAUGCUACACUUCGGCAGCUACGAACU
This 1591-nucleotide long non-coding RNA is filed under the name Nicotiana benthamiana. RNAcentral's name for it is "long non-coding RNA (NBEN_LNC003742)". Lineage: Eukaryota; Viridiplantae; Streptophyta; Magnoliopsida; Solanales; Solanaceae. The record is from RNAcentral.